Molecule: ribosomal RNA, 110 nt
Filed under: Gopherus agassizii (Agassiz's desert tortoise)
Lineage: Eukaryota; Metazoa; Chordata; Testudines; Testudinidae
Source: RNAcentral
UGUACCUACCAUCUCAUGCUGAGAGCUUGGCUGAUCUCAUGGACAAAGCAGGAUCAAGCUGGGUUUGUACUUUGAUGGGAGCCAUCCAGGGAAAACCCAGGGUGCUGUGG